This 253-nucleotide ribosomal RNA is filed under the name uncultured bacterium. Its description in RNAcentral is "partial 16S ribosomal RNA". It matches the Rfam family "Bacterial small subunit ribosomal RNA", at positions 524 to 776 of the family's 1533-position model. The record is from RNAcentral.
UACGUAGGGCGCAAGCGUUGUCCGGAAUUAUUGGGCGUAAAGAGCUCGUAGGCGGCUUGUCACGUCGGGUGUGAAAGCCCGGGGCUUAACCCCGGGUCUGCAUCCGAUACGGGCAGGCUAGAGUGUGGUAGGGGAGAUCGGAAUUCCUGGUGUAGCGGUGAAAUGCGCAGAUAUCAGGAGGAACACCGAUGGCGAAGGCAGGUCUCUGGGCCACUACUGACGCUGAGAAGCGAAAGCAUGGGGAGCGAACGGG